UGGAAAUAAAUAUCGUUAAAGUCAUCGGUUAAUCAAUGAAUGGUAAUUUGAAAAGAAAAUGGAAAACCAUGAACUGGGCUUUAGUCUGAUGUGCGCCUCAAACGCCUAAAAAACUCGUGAAUAUAUUUUUUGUCUGAUUUUUUGAAGUCAGGUAUUAAUCACUGUUGGCUAUGGCAGUUUAUUUUACUAGCCUGCAACCUUAUGCCAAAUGUUGAACAGCACUGCUGUUACAAUCUUUGGCUUCUACUUUGGCACGUGGUGCGGGCAACCAAGGACAGCACGUGGCCCAUGCGCGUUGUGCUGUAACGUACAUGUACAUGUACUUCAUCAGGGGUACUGUUGAUUUGUCCGGUUUCGUAAAUGGAAAAUCGUCUGAGGCUCUGGCGGCAUGGAAACUUACGUUCGUCAUUUGAAAGACAGAUGUUGCCGACCUUUUUUCCGAGGCAAAGAAGGAUUUUUUUUUCUGAUCUGGCUCCGAUGUCACUAUAUCUUCAGCGUCCACAGAUCAUCACUGCAGGAAGCCUGCUGGAAAAUCACGGAUGUCUACAUGUACAUGGUGUUGGUGUGCAAAAUUAAAGUAAUUUUCUCAAGAAACAUUGACGACUGGAGUUGGAAGUGACAAGUUUGCUUUGAGGAUGCAGGAGAUAGUCAAAUAGAUGAGAUGAAAUGGAUGCAGUUCAACAGGAUGAUUGACAGGACUAAGAGACUCGUUGAGUGCCAGAUAGUUUGUCAUUAAGAUGAAGCUCAUGUGCUGCAUGUAGGUUCCUGUUCUGCUAGCUCCUGCCCAGGUUUGAUUUAUGCAUCUCUACCCAUCCCUUUCUUCUGUCCCCUUCUCCAUCAGGUAAGACCUUUCUUUUUGAUAUUUCGUUUGGCUACAUGUACAUCUUAUCACGGAAUACCCAUGGUCAAGUUCUAGAUGAGCACUUAAAAUUAUUGAGGUAUAUACCAUAAACAUUAUUUUAUGAGUGAUGGUUACAAAAGUUGUUUAAAUUGCCUUUUGCGGGAGGAUUAUUUUGAGCACUUCACCCUAACAAUCCCAAACCAACCAAAUUCCAGCACCAAGGUUUGUUGGAAUCUGGUAGGAUGAGUACUGCACUGGUAUACUGGCUGUGUUUAUGUGGGAUUAGGCAUACCACAAAUAAAUAGAUGCAGUCCAGAUGCACAGUUUUAUAGGCCUUUUUACACUAUAGCCUCUCAACCCAGGUUGAACCCAACCAGGGCGAACCCAUGACCACCUUGGGUUUAAAAUAUGA
This is a long non-coding RNA of Acanthaster planci (crown-of-thorns starfish), 1253 nucleotides long. The record is from RefSeq and is a predicted model, not a curated record. NCBI's taxonomy places the organism in Eukaryota, Metazoa, Echinodermata, Asteroidea, Valvatida, Acanthasteridae.